Molecule: ribosomal RNA, 497 nt
Filed under: uncultured bacterium
Lineage: Bacteria
Description: partial 16S ribosomal RNA
Rfam family: Bacterial small subunit ribosomal RNA
Source: RNAcentral
GAUGAACGCUGGCGGCGUGCCUAAUACAUGCAAGUCGAGCGAACGGACCAGGAGCUUGCUUCUAUGAUGUUAUCGGCGGAGGGGAGAGUAACUCGUCGAUAACCUACCUAUAAGACUGGGAUAACUUUGGGAAACAGGAGCUAAUACGGGAUGAUAUAUUGAAGCACAAGGUUCCAAAGUGAGAGUAGGUAUUGGGUGGACUUAUAGAUUGCUACGCGCUGCAUUGGCUAGUUGGUAAGGAGACGGCUUACCAAGACAACGAUGCAUAGCCGACCCGAGAGGGUGAACGGCCACACUGGAACUGAGACACGGUCCAGACUCCUACGGGAGGCAGCAGUAGGGAAUCUUCCGCAAUGGGCGAAAGCCUGACGGAGCAACGCCGCGUGAGUGAUGAAGGUCUUCGGAUCGUAAAACUCUGUUAUUAGGGAAGAACAUAUGUGUAAGUAACUGUGCACAUCUUGACGGUACCUAAUCAGAAAGCCACGGCUAACUACGUG